This 187-nucleotide ribosomal RNA is filed under the name uncultured bacterium. RNAcentral's name for it is "partial 16S ribosomal RNA". It matches the Rfam family "Bacterial small subunit ribosomal RNA", at positions 1314 to 1500 of the family's 1533-position model. The record is from RNAcentral.
GCCUACAUGAAGUCGGAAUUGCUAGUAAUCGCGGAUCAGCAUGCCGCGGUGAAUACGUUCCCGGGCCUUGUACACACCGCCCGUCACACCAUGGGAGUCGGUAACACCCGAAGCCUGUAGUCUAACCGCAAGGGGGACGCAGUCGAAGGUGGGAUUGAUGACUGGGGUGAAGUCGUAACAAGGUAGC